This 27-nucleotide non-coding RNA is filed under the name Mus musculus (house mouse). The record is from RNAcentral. Lineage: Eukaryota; Metazoa; Chordata; Mammalia; Rodentia; Muridae.
UUCCUGAUUACCUUGAAGUCUAGAGGC